GCGAUCGUAGCUCAAUUGGUUAGAGCGUCGGUUUGUGGAACCGAAGGUUGCGGGUUCAAGCCCCGUCGUUCGCCCCA
This 77-nucleotide transfer RNA is filed under the name Elusimicrobiota bacterium. RNAcentral describes it as "tRNA-His". It matches the Rfam family "tRNA". Rfam says of the family: Transfer RNA (tRNA) molecules are approximately 80 nucleotides in length. Their secondary structure includes four short double-helical elements and three loops (D, anti-codon, and T loops). Lineage: Bacteria; Pseudomonadati; Elusimicrobiota. The record is from RNAcentral.